This 305-nucleotide ribosomal RNA is filed under the name uncultured bacterium. RNAcentral describes it as "bacterial SSU rRNA". It matches the Rfam family "Bacterial small subunit ribosomal RNA", at positions 333 to 636 of the family's 1533-position model. The record is from RNAcentral.
UGGUCCCUACGGGGGGCAGCAGUGAGGAAUAUUGGUCAAUGGCCGGAAGGCUGAACCAGCCACGUCGCGUGAGGGACGACUGCCCUAUGGGUUGUAAACCUCUUUUAUAAGGGAAGAAUAAAUGCUACGUGUAGCAUGAUGCCUGUACCUUAUGAAUAAGCAUCGGCUAACUCCAUGCCAGCAGCCGCGGUAAUACGGAGGAUGCGAGCGUUAUCCGGAUUUAUUGGGUUUAAAGGGUGCGUAGGCGGUUUUUUAAGUUAGUGGUUAAACGUCGGGGCUUCACCUUGUUUUGCCCUUAAUACUGU